This 58-nucleotide ribosomal RNA is filed under the name uncultured organism. Its description in RNAcentral is "partial 16S ribosomal RNA". The record is from RNAcentral.
AGGGCUUGACAUCCCGCGACUGCCGGGGAACCCGGAGUUCCCCUUCGGGGGACGCGGU